Molecule: ribosomal RNA, 429 nt
Filed under: bacterium
Lineage: Bacteria
Description: partial 16S ribosomal RNA
Rfam family: Bacterial small subunit ribosomal RNA
Source: RNAcentral
UAGGGAAUCUUCGGCAAUGGGGGCAACCCUGACCGAGCAACGCCGCGUGAGUGAAGAAGGUUUUCGGAUCGUAAAGCUCUGUUGUAAGAGAAGAACGUGUGUGAGAGUGGAAAGUUCACACAGUGACGGUAACUUACCAGAAAGGGACGGCUAACUACGUGCCAGCAGCCGCGGGAAUACGUAGGUCCCGAGCGGUGUCCGGACUUAUUGGGCGUAAAGCGAGCGAAGCCGGUUUAAUAAGUCUGAAGUUAAAGGCAGUGGCUUAACCAUUGUUCGCUUUGGCAACUCUUAACCUUGAGUGCAGAAGGGGGGAGUGGAGUUCCAUGUGUAGCGGUGAAAUGCGUAGAUAUAUGGAGGAACACCGGAGGCGAAAGCGGGUCUCUGGUCUGUACCUGUCGCUGAGGGGUGAAAGCGUGGGGAGCAAGCAGG